GUGCAGCAGUCGCGAAUACUCCGCAAUGCACGAAAGUGUGACGGGGUCAACCCGAGUGCCAACUCAAAAGUUGGCUUUUCACCGGUGUAAGCAGCCGGUGGAAUAAGGGGAGGGCAAGGCUGGUGCCAGCCGCCGCGGUAAACCAGCUCCUCGAGUAGUCAAGACGUUUAUUGGGCCUAAAGCGUCCGUAGCCGGUCCAGUAAGUCUCUGGUCAAAUCUAACGGCUCAACCGUUAGACCGCUAGAGAUACUGCUGGACUCGGAGGCGGGAGAGGCCGAGGGUACUCUCAGGGUAGGGGUGAAAAUCCGAUAAUCCUGAGGGGACCACCAGUGGCGAAGGCGCUCGGCUGGAACGCGCUCGACGGUGAGGGACGAAAGCCAGGGGAGCGAACCGGAUUAGAUACCCCUGUAGU
Molecule: ribosomal RNA, 412 nt
Filed under: uncultured microorganism
Description: bacterial SSU rRNA
Rfam family: Archaeal small subunit ribosomal RNA
Source: RNAcentral